UGGGGAAUAUUGCACAAUGGGCANAAGCCUGAUGCAGCCAUGCCGCGUGUGUGAAGAAGGCCUUCGGGUUGUAAAGCACUUUCAGCGAGGAGGAAGGUGGUGAGCUUAAUACGCUCAUCAAUUGACGUUACUCGCAGAAGAAGCACCGGCUAACUCCGUGCCAGCAGCCGCGGUAAUACGGAGGGUGCAAGCGUUAAUCGGAAUUACUGGGCGUAAAGCGCACGCAGGCGGUUUGUUAAGUCAGAUGUGAAAUCCCCGGGCUCAACCUGGGAACUGCAUUUGAAACUGGCAAGCUAGAGUCUCGUAGAGGGGGGCUAGAAUUCCAGGUGUAGCGGUGAAAUGCGUAGAGAUCUGGAGGAAUACCGGUGGCGAAGGCGGCCCCCUGGACGAAGACUGACGCUCAGGUGCGAAAGCGUGGGGCAGCAAACAGGAUUAGAUACCCUGGUAGUCAGCGCUGUAAACGAUGUCGAUUUUGGAGGUUGUGCCCUUGAGGCGUGGCUUCCGGAGCUAACGCGUUAAAGUCGACCGCCUGGGGAG
RNAcentral lists this ribosomal RNA (537 nucleotides) under uncultured bacterium. RNAcentral's name for it is "partial 16S ribosomal RNA". It matches the Rfam family "Bacterial small subunit ribosomal RNA", at positions 355 to 880 of the family's 1533-position model. The record is from RNAcentral.